RNAcentral lists this ribosomal RNA (504 nucleotides) under uncultured bacterium. RNAcentral's name for it is "bacterial SSU rRNA". It matches the Rfam family "Bacterial small subunit ribosomal RNA", at positions 15 to 507 of the family's 1533-position model. The record is from RNAcentral.
GAUCAUGGCUCAGAUUGAACGGCUGGCGGCAGGCCUAACACAUGCAAGUCGAACGGUAACAGGAAGAAGCUUGCUUCUUUGCUGACGAGUGGCGGACGGGUGAGUAAUGUCUGGGAAACUGCCUGAUGAGGGGGAUAACUACUGGAAACGGUAGCUAAUACCGCAUAACGUCGCAAGACCAAAGAGGGGGACCUUCGGGCCUCUUGCCAUCGGAUGUGCCCAGAUGGGAUUAGCUAGUAGGUGGGGUAACGGCUCACCUAGGCGACGAUCCCUAGCUGGUCUGAGAGGAUGACCAGCCACACUGGAACUGAGACACGGUCCAGACUCCUACGGGAGGCAGCAGUGGGGAAUAUUGCACAAUGGGCGCAAGCCUGAUGCAGCCAUGCCCGCGUGUAUGAAGAAGGCCUUCGGGUUGUAAAGUACUUUCAGCGGGGAGGAAGGGAGUAAAGUUAAUACCUUUGCUCAUUGACGUUACCCGCAGAAGAAGCACCGGCUAACUCCGUG